UUCAAGAGUUCUUUAAAAAAUUUCAACUGGAUGCUACUCAAGGAAACAACGACGGGCUAUCAAGAUUCAGUUUGCAGAACACUGUGGUAAACUCGGUUUGUCCAGUUAUACCUCCUUAUCCAUCCACAAAAUACCGCUCUAUAGACGGCAGUUGCAAUAACCUGCAGAAUCCCACCUGGGGCAAGUCUUUUACUUCCUUCGUCCGUCUGUUGCGACCACAAUACGCUGAUGCAAGUGACGGCAGUGGUAUAGUAUGAUACAAAGAAUAGGUUUUAAAGAAUAUCAAGCUACGCCAUCCUGCAUGCUU
Molecule: long non-coding RNA, 307 nt
Organism: Limulus polyphemus (Atlantic horseshoe crab)
Lineage: Eukaryota; Metazoa; Arthropoda; Merostomata; Xiphosura; Limulidae
Exons: 3
Source: RefSeq, a predicted model, not a curated record